AUCGAACGCUGGCGGCAGGCUUAACACAUGCAAGUCGAGCGGGGGAAGGUAGCUUGCUACCGGACCUAGCGGCGGACGGGUGAGUAAUGCUUAGGAAUCUGCCUAUAGUGGGGGACAACAUCUCGAAAGGGAUGCUAAUACCGCAUACGUCCUACGGGAGGAAGCAGGGGAUCUUCGGACCUUGCGCUAAUAGAUGAGCCUAAGUCGGAUUAGCUAGUUGGUGGGGUAAAGGCCUACCAAGGCGACGAUCUGUAGCGGGUCUGAGAGGAUGAUCCGCCACACUGGGACUGAGACACGGCCCAGACUCCUACGGGAGGCAGCAGUGGGGAAUAUUGGACAAUGGGGGGAACCCUGAUCCAGCCAUGCCGCGUGUGUGAAGAAGGCCUUAUGGUUGUAAAGCACUUUAAGCGAGGAGGAGGCUACUCUAGUUAAUACCUAGGGAUAGUGGACGUUACUCGCAGAAUAAGCACCGGCUAACUCUGUGCCAGCAGCCGCCGUAA
RNAcentral lists this ribosomal RNA (500 nucleotides) under uncultured bacterium. RNAcentral describes it as "partial 16S ribosomal RNA". It matches the Rfam family "Bacterial small subunit ribosomal RNA", at positions 30 to 523 of the family's 1533-position model. The record is from RNAcentral.